GCUCCACCAUUAAUCAUGAGUCGCGAACGGGUGAGUAACGCGUAGGUACCUACCUCAUAGCGGGGAUAACUAUUGAAGCGAUAGCUAAUACCGCAUAUCAGUAUUUAUCGCAUGGUAAAUGCUUGAAAGGAGCAGCUGCUUCACUAUGAGAUGGACCUGCGUUGUAUUAGCUAGUUGGUGGGGUAACGGCUCACCAAGGCCUCGAUACAUAGCCGACCUGAGAGGGUGAUCGGCCACACUGGGAACUGAGACUCGGCCCAGACUCCUACGGGAGGCAGCAGUAGGGAAUCUUCGGCAAUGGGGGGAACCCUGACCGAGCAACACCGCGUGAGUGAAGAAGGUUUUCGGAUCGUAAAGCUCUGUUGUAAGAGAAGAACGUGAGUAAGAGGGAAAGUUCACAC
This 401-nucleotide ribosomal RNA is filed under the name uncultured bacterium. RNAcentral's name for it is "bacterial SSU rRNA". It matches the Rfam family "Bacterial small subunit ribosomal RNA", at positions 77 to 469 of the family's 1533-position model. The record is from RNAcentral.